GUUUUGAGGCCCAGAGAGGCAGGAAGGCACGGUAGUGGACUCGGGACUGACUGUCUAGGUAUGGGUUGGGGACUAGAGCACGUGGAAAUCUUUUGCAUUUUGGUCCUCCAGAUGAUGGCUAAGCUCUGAUGCCUAGACAAGCACAAAAACAAGAGGUGGAGGAGAUCAUAGAGAACAUAAGUAUACUUGACUGGGAUUAUUCUUACAUGAGGAAGCAAGGAUCCCACUCUGUGCAAGAGAGACUGAUAUUGGCAAAGAGGCAGAAACAUGAAGCUCCUCUUCCAAAAAGAAUCCAACUAUUUCUGAAAGUGGAGACUGGAGGCUGCUACAACUUCCCAUCAUGGCCUUGGCAUGUGGUCUCUUGCAAGAUCAACCAAUGCUCUGGCAGGCAGAUCAUGAUCUCCUCAAAUACAGUAACCCAGGAAUAUAUUCUUCUCCUUUCCCUCAGUAAGUUGCAAGUAUAAAUAAAUCAGAUCUCUAGCACUGUAAAAUCUUAGUCUGUUGGACAGAAUUCUUGAAACUUCUGGGCUCUGGUAAACUGAUACUGGUAGGGAUUUCCCCCCACCCNCUUCAUAUAGAUGCUUUCAUUUCUGAGUUACAUAAAAAUAUAAGAACAUAAGAGGAACCCUGCUGGAUCAGGCUACAGCCCAUCUAGUCCAGCAUCCUGNCUCACACAGUGGGCCAUGAAUUGCUUCUGGGUGUUCUCAAGCAGAAGACAAAUGUUACAAAAUAUGCUCUGGAGCUCUGUACAUGCCCAGAGACAUAUGGGAUCUUUUUACCUUGGUCUUGGCAUGUCCUGAGAGCUUUACCCAAUAAGCACAGCCAUGUUGCAAAUAUGCUGUAAGGGGGAAUUUUAUUACUUCAUACAAAUUGAAGAAGGAUCCUUAUUUCAAAGUUUCUUUGAAGACUGGAGAUUAGAAGAGAGUUUCCCCUUGUCAGUCCUAACUCUCCUGCCCACCACCUUCAUAUAGUGCCCUUGUUUCUAGAGAUGCGUGAUAAAGAAAAUAAUUUUUCUCUAUCCACCUUUCCCACNCCAUGCAUGGUUUUAUUUAUUUCUGUCAAGUCACUUCUUAACCACCAUCUGUCAAGGCUGAAAAGGCCUAGACGUUGUGGCUUGAUAUUGUAAAGGAGGUGUUCCAGCCUGUUGAACAUUCUGGUUGCCCUUUUCUGCACUUUGUCCAGUUCCACAAUAUCCCUUCUGAGGUGAGGUGACUUGUUCCCCUAUUUUGACUCUGAUGCUUCUGGCAUUUGUGUACUGAACCUGAGGGGAAGGGUUUGUAACAGAUGCACCUCCAAGAUACACAAGCGUCUUGAAUGUGAAGUAGAGAGGUCAUUUCACCAGAGAAAAGGAGGAUGAGAGAUAAGCACCUGCCCUGCUAACAGAGUACAAUGAAUGUGAAGAUGGGAAAGUGCACAGUAACUUACGAUGACAUUUUGUUUGAGGGAGGCUGAGAGAAGGUGAUGGACUGAAANCUUGCCAUGAAUGGAAAUACUGGCCCUCCAACAACGUAGUCUCCUGGCUUGUAAUAAUUCCAUGGGUCACUUUCAUCUCUGACCAAAUUCAGCAGACAUUUGGCCAUUUGUACCUCAUUGAUUCUCUGGGUCAGAAAAAGCAACAACAGGAGGAGCAAAGCAAGGCAGGUUCUGCCUGCGAUGGGCCUGUUUCUUGGGAGAGCAAAGAUGUCAGCAAAUUGAACCUGAAUGCCAGGCAUGGCUUCUGAUUCAAAAUCUCCCCUCUGGCCCACUGCUGCUGUCUAUCCCAAACCCUCAGUGGUAUGGAGGAUUUUAUUGUCUGGCACCUACUGCAGGCAAGUGAGAAGCAGUUCCUGCUCCACCUGAACUUGCUGUUGAUGGUUUUGGUCUCUAGGGGAAAACCCAGGUGUUUGGAUGGAGAGGNGAAGAAUAAAUCACUAUGAUCUAAAUAAUUAUAUGAACUG
This is a long non-coding RNA of Salvator merianae (Argentine black and white tegu), 1937 nucleotides long. The record is from Ensembl. Lineage: Eukaryota; Metazoa; Chordata; Lepidosauria; Squamata; Teiidae.